UCUCUGGUGGUCCAGUGGUCAAGACACUGCAAUUCCAAAUCAGGGGGGCACAGGUUCGAUCCCUGGUCAGGGAA
Molecule: transfer RNA, 74 nt
Filed under: Bos taurus (domestic cattle)
Lineage: Eukaryota; Metazoa; Chordata; Mammalia; Artiodactyla; Bovidae
Also listed under: 1 other name
Rfam family: tRNA
About the family: Transfer RNA (tRNA) molecules are approximately 80 nucleotides in length. Their secondary structure includes four short double-helical elements and three loops (D, anti-codon, and T loops).
Source: Rfam by way of RNAcentral